This 491-nucleotide ribosomal RNA is filed under the name uncultured bacterium. Its description in RNAcentral is "bacterial SSU rRNA". It matches the Rfam family "Bacterial small subunit ribosomal RNA", at positions 347 to 856 of the family's 1533-position model. The record is from RNAcentral.
GGSAGCAGUGGGGAAUAUUGCACAAUGGGGGCAAGCAUGAUCUCUUCAUGUUGSAAGAMUGUUGAAGGCCGUAGGGAAGUAAAGUUCUUUUAUGCGGGAAGAUAAUGACUGUACCGCAAGAAUAAGCCCCGGAUAAUUUCGUCCCAGCAGCCGCGGUAAUACGAAGGGGGCGAGCGUUUUUGGGAUUCACUGGGCGUAAAGGGUGCGUAGGCGGUUUUUUAAGUCAGAGGUGAAAUCCCGGGGCUCAACUCCGGAACUGCCUUUGAUACUGAGGAUUUGGAGUUCGGGAGAGGUGAGUGGAAUUCCGAGUGUAGAGGUAAAAUUCGUAGAUAUUGGGAGGAACCCCAGUGGCGAAGGCGGCUCCCUGGCCCAAUACUGACGCUGAGGCACGAAAGCGUGGGGAGCAAACGGGUUUAGAUCCCCUGGUAGUCCACCCCYUAAACGAUGAAAACCAGCCUUUGGGAACUUUACUCUUCAGUGGCGCAGCUAAC